Molecule: ribosomal RNA, 226 nt
Filed under: uncultured eubacterium Wineub19
Lineage: Bacteria
Description: partial 16S small subunit ribosomal RNA
Rfam family: Bacterial small subunit ribosomal RNA
Source: RNAcentral
UUAGUGGCGGACGGGUGAGUAACACGUGGGCAACCUGCCUAUAAGACUGGGAUAACUUCGGGAAACCGGAGCUAAUACCGGAUACGUUCUUUUCUCGCAUGAGAGAAGAUGGAAAGACGGCUGCUGUCACUUAUAGAUGGGCCCGCGGCGCAUUAGCUAGUUGGUGAGGUAAUGGCUCACCAAGGCGACGAUGCGUAGCCGACCUGAGAGGGUGAUCGGCCACACU